UGAGCAAUCUGCCCUUCUCAUCGGAAUAAGCGUUGGAAACGACGUCUAAUGCCGAAUACGACCUCCUUUCGCAUGAUCGGAGGUGGAAAGCUUUAUUGUGGUUUUGGAUGGACUCGCGGCCUAUCAGCUUGUUGGUGAGGUAAUGGCUCACCAAGGCGACGACGGGUAGCCGGCCUGAGAGGGUGACCGGCCACACUGGGACUGAGACACGGCCCAGACUCCUACGGGAGCAG
Molecule: ribosomal RNA, 233 nt
Filed under: uncultured bacterium
Lineage: Bacteria
Description: partial 16S ribosomal RNA
Rfam family: Bacterial small subunit ribosomal RNA
Source: RNAcentral